ACCUGGCUGGCUCAGUCAGUGGAGCCUGUGACUCUUGAUCUCCAGGAUAUGAGUUCAAGCCCCAUGCUGGGCA
Molecule: transfer RNA, 73 nt
Filed under: Ailuropoda melanoleuca (giant panda)
Lineage: Eukaryota; Metazoa; Chordata; Mammalia; Carnivora; Ursidae
Rfam family: tRNA
About the family: Transfer RNA (tRNA) molecules are approximately 80 nucleotides in length.
Source: Rfam by way of RNAcentral